GCACCCGCGGUAAUUCUAGCACCAAUAGCGUAUAUUAAUGCUGCUGCUGUUAAAAGGCUCGUAGUUGGAUCAAGAGUUGGACGAUGCACGGUGGCCUCGUUUGUAAGUCUGGCUCCGGUCAGGCUUGCGGCGGUGGAACAACCCCGUGCGCCAAAUCGUCCACUCUAACAGGCCGAAACGGUUCCCUGUGAGUAGGCUCCUUAAUUGGGGCUGAAAGCGCCUACGCAUCAACCAUAUGCAUACGGGACGUCGGCCAAUGUUACUGUGAACAAACCAGCGUGUCCAAAGCAGGCCCUCGCCUGAAUGUUCGAGCAUGGAAUAACAAGGGAUCGGUUCUCUCGGUUCUUUUUGUUGGUUUUUAACCCAAGAAGGAGUAAUUCAGGCCACGGUGUCUGAGUUGAGUUUCCCUGGCUUUCGGGUCAGGCCUUAACUAGGCCGUGGUCUUACGGGAUCAAUAGGGACUGACGGGGUCGUACGUACUCCCGCGUCAGAGGUGAAAUUCUUAGAUCGUGGGAAGACGAACUUCUGCGAAAGCAUUCGACAAGAAUGUCUUCAUUAAUCAAGAACGAGAGUGUGGGGAUCGAAGAUGAUCAGAUACCGUCGUAGUCCACUACUGUAAACAAUGCCGUCUCAGGAUUGAGAAGUGAACCUAAUGACUUUCACAGCACUAACCCCUGAAACGAGAAAUCAAAGAUUAUGGGUUCAGGGGGGAGUACAUUCGCAAGGCUGAAACUUAAAGGAAUUGACGGAAUGACACCACAAGGCGUGGAGUAUGCGGCUUAAUUUGACUCAACACGGGGAAUUUUACUAGGUCAGGACAAUGUGAGGAUUGACAGAUUGAGAGCUCUUUCUCGAUCCAUUGUGUGGUGGUGCAUGGCCGCUCCUGGUUGGUGGAGUGAUUUGUCUGGUUGAUUCCGUUAACGAACGAGAUCUCGACCCUUAAAUAGGUCUCUCGUCGAUUGUAGUCUUGCCUGUGCCAGCUCGCUGGAUAACAGCGGGACGAGACUGGGAGAAAACUUCUUAAGGGGACUGUGUGCGUAUAUAGCACGCGGAAGAGCGAGCCAAUAGCAGGUCUGUGAUGCUCCUAAAUGUCCUAGGCUGCACGCGCACUACACUGAUGCAAUAAACGAGUCUGAGUGCCUCCUGGCAACCUACCUGGAAGCGGGUGGGAAAUCUUUUGAACUUGCAUCGUGAUGAG
Molecule: ribosomal RNA, 1198 nt
Filed under: uncultured marine diplonemid
Lineage: Eukaryota; Euglenozoa; Diplonemea
Description: bacterial SSU rRNA
Rfam family: Eukaryotic small subunit ribosomal RNA
Source: RNAcentral